GUGGUGACACCGAGCAGAACCCGAAAGCCGUUCUCAGUUCGGAUCGGAGUCUGCAACCCGACUCCGUGAAGCUGGAUUCGCUAGUAAUCGCGCAUCAGCCAUGGCGCGGUGAAUACGUUCCCGGGCCUUGUACACACCGCCCGUCAAGCCAUGGAAGCCGGGGGCGCUUGAAGCGCGUUGCCGCAAGGCGCGCCCUAGAGCGAAACCGGUGACUGGGGCUAAGUCGUAACAAGGUAUC
Molecule: ribosomal RNA, 238 nt
Filed under: uncultured bacterium
Lineage: Bacteria
Description: partial 16S ribosomal RNA
Rfam family: Bacterial small subunit ribosomal RNA
Source: RNAcentral